GAAUAUUGGACAAUGGGCGCAAGCCUGAUCCAGCAAUGCCGCGUGUGUGAAGAAGGCCUUCGGGUUGUAAAGCACUUUUAUCAGGAACGAAAAGCGUGUGGUUAAUAACCGUACGUGCUGACGGUACCUGAGGAAUAAGCACCGGCUAACUUCGUGCCAGCAGCCGCGGUAAUACGAAGGGUGCAAGCGUUAAUCGGAAUUACUGGGCGUAAAGCGUGCGUAGAUGGUUCAUUAAGUCGGAUGUGAAAGCCCCGGGCUCAACCUGGGAACUGCAUCCGAUACUGGUGGACUAGAGUGCGGUAGAGGAUGGCGGAAUUCCCGGUGUAGCGGUGAAAUGCGUAGAGAUCGGGAGGAACAUCCGUGGCGAAGGCGGCCAUCUGGACCAGCACUGACGUUGAGGCACGAAAGCGUGGGGAGCAAAC
RNAcentral lists this ribosomal RNA (422 nucleotides) under uncultured bacterium. RNAcentral's name for it is "bacterial SSU rRNA". It matches the Rfam family "Bacterial small subunit ribosomal RNA", at positions 359 to 773 of the family's 1533-position model. The record is from RNAcentral.